RNAcentral lists this ribosomal RNA (725 nucleotides) under uncultured fungus. RNAcentral's name for it is "eukaryotic LSU rRNA". The stretch from base 213 to 367 matches the Rfam family "5.8S ribosomal RNA". Lineage: Eukaryota; Fungi. The record is from RNAcentral.
GGAAGGAUCAUUACUGAAUUGUCAAACGGGCUGUUGCUGGUCCUCAAAUGGGGACAUGUGCACGCUCUGUUUACACAUCCACUCACACCUGUGCACCCUCUGUAGUUUUACGGUCUGGGGGACCCUGUCUUCCUUCCGUAGUUCUACGUCUUUACACACACACUGUAAUAAAGUCUUAUGGAAUGUAUGCCGCGUCUAACGCAACACAAUACAACUUUCAGCAACGGAUCUCUUGGCUCUCGCAUCGAUGAAGAACGCAGCGAAAUGCGAUAAGUAAUGUGAAUUGCAGAAUUCAGUGAAUCAUCGAAUCUUUGAACGCACCUUGCGCCCCUUGGAUAUUCCGAGGGGCAUGCCUGUUUGAGUAUCAUGAACACCUCAACUCUCAUGGUUUGCCAUGACGAGCUUGGACCUUGGGGGUUUUGCUGGCCUGUGGUCGGCUCCUCUCAAAUGAAUCAGCCUCCCAGUGUUUGGUGGCAUCACGAGUGUGAUAACUAUCUACGCUCGCGGUUGCCCACCAGGUAACCUUUGGUGACAAAGGUUCGCUGGAGCUCACAGAUGUCUCUCCUUAGCGAGGACAGCUUUUUAACGUUCGAUCUCAAAUCAGGUAGGACUACCCGCUGAACUUAAGCAUAUCAAUAAGCGGAGGAAAAGAAACUAACAAGGAUUCCCCUAGUAACUGCGAGUGAAGCGGGAAGAGCUCAAAUUUAAAAUCUGGCGUGCCUCUG